RNAcentral lists this ribosomal RNA (538 nucleotides) under uncultured Geobacter sp. RNAcentral describes it as "bacterial SSU rRNA". It matches the Rfam family "Bacterial small subunit ribosomal RNA", at positions 9 to 525 of the family's 1533-position model. Lineage: Bacteria; Pseudomonadati; Thermodesulfobacteriota; Desulfuromonadia; Geobacterales; Geobacteraceae. The record is from RNAcentral.
GAGUUUGAUCCUGGCUCAGAACGAACGCUGGCGGCGUGCUUAACACAUGCAAGUCGAACGUGAUUGGAAGCUUGCUUCCAUGAAAGUGGCGCACGGGUGAGUAACGCGUGGAUAACCUGCCCUGGUAUCCGGAAUAACAUCUCGAAAGGGGUGCUAAUACCGGAUAAGCCUACGGAGCCUUCGGUCUCUGCAGGAAAGGGUGGCCUCUAUUUAUAAGCUACCGUAUCAGGAUGGGUCCGCGUACCAUUAGCUAGUUGGUGGGGUAAUGGCCUACCAAGGCGACGAUGGUUAUCUGGUCUGAGAGGAUGAUCAGCCACACUGGAACUGAGACACGGUCCAGACUCCUACGGGAGGCAGCAGUGGGGAAUUUUGCGCAAUGGGGGAAACCCUGACGCAGCAACGCCGCGUGAGUGAUGAAGGCUUUCGGGUCGUAAAGCUCUGUCAGAGGGGAAGAAAUGGGUCUGGCUAAUAUCCAGAUUCCUUGACGGUACCCUCAAAGGAAGCACCGGCUAACUCCGUGCCAGCAGCCGCGGUAAUA